Long non-coding RNA from Triticum dicoccoides, 626 nucleotides. RefSeq lists it as uncharacterized. The record is from RefSeq and is a predicted model, not a curated record. NCBI's taxonomy places the organism in Eukaryota, Viridiplantae, Streptophyta, Magnoliopsida, Poales, Poaceae. The transcript is spliced from 2 exons.
CCCCCGUCUCUCUUGGCCCCUCAUUUUUUCUCUCCCCCACCUUGAUCCAAAUCUGACUCGGGCUCUCCCCUCGCUCCUCCCAUGGAACGACUGUCCACCAUCGCGUCUCCUCACCGCCCCACCUCUCUCCCUUCACUACUGCCCCAUCGAGCUAGCGUCCAAGGACCGUAGCUGCGGCCGUGGCGGCCUUGCCUACGAGGAUCAUCCGAUCUGCGAGCGCGACCGCGGGAUGGACGGGGAGGAAACGGCCGACGGCGGAGACGGAGGAGCACGUCCAGCGCAUCCUCCUGGCCAUCGCUAGCUUCGCCCACAAGGGUCAGAGAGCCGUGCCUCCAGCUACUAGCACUGAAGUAAAUUGACGGUGUGUGCAUUAGCUAAGUGUGCUGCAUGGAUUAGCUACCUCCCUCUCUGCCCCCGCCAAAAAAGCUACCUCCCUCUCUGCCCCCGCAAAAAAGCUACCUCCCCAUCUGCAUGAGUUGUGUGUGCUGCAUGGAUUAGCUGGAAUGGAGAUGAGGAUCUCUGCAUUGACACAACAUAGUGGAUUAAGCUCUUCCUUAUUGUUGUGUUUUAUUUUUUUAUUUUUUGUUUUGGUUCUAGUUCUAUUGAUUCAUGCUGAUGUUGUACUA